AAUAGCCGCCUUGAGACCAGGAGGGCAAGGUUCGAAACCUGCUCAGGGCGGCAUUCUUUU
RNAcentral lists this microRNA precursor (60 nucleotides) under Oreochromis niloticus (Nile tilapia). Its description in RNAcentral is "microRNA oni-mir-10674 precursor". Lineage: Eukaryota; Metazoa; Chordata; Actinopteri; Cichliformes; Cichlidae. The record is from miRBase by way of RNAcentral.